GGACGAACGCUGGCGGCGUGCCUAAUACAUGCAAGUCGAGCGAUCUGGAGGUUGGAGAUUAGAGGUUAGAAGUUAGACGAAACCAAUCGGCGAAGCCGAUUGGAUGAAUCUGAUUUCCAACUUCCAAUCUCCAACUUCCAGGGAGCGGCGGAYGGGUGAGUAACACGUGGGCAACCUGCCCGCAAGAYCGGGAUAACUCCGGGAAACCGGGGCUAAUACCGGAUGAUGCMUCUYYCUGCAUGGGAGGAUGCUGAAAGGCGGCCUUUGGCUGUCACUUGCGGAUGGGCCCGCGGCGCAUUAGCUGGUUGGUGAGGUAACGGCUCACCAAGGCGACGAUGCGUAGCCGACCUGAGAGGGUGAYCGGCCACACUGGGACUGAGACACGGCCCAGACUCCUACGGGAGGCAGCAGUAGGGAAUUUUCCGCAAUGGGCGCAAGCCUGACGGAGCAACGCCGCGUGAGUGAGGACGGCUUUCGGGUUGUAAAACUCUGUUCUUCGGGAAGAACGGUCGAAGGGUGAACAAUCCUUUGRCRUGACGGUACCGGAGGAGAAAGCCCCGGCUAACUACGU
RNAcentral lists this ribosomal RNA (571 nucleotides) under Kroppenstedtia eburnea. RNAcentral's name for it is "bacterial SSU rRNA". It matches the Rfam family "Bacterial small subunit ribosomal RNA", at positions 27 to 506 of the family's 1533-position model. Lineage: Bacteria; Bacillati; Bacillota; Bacilli; Caryophanales; Thermoactinomycetaceae. The record is from RNAcentral.